Molecule: ribosomal RNA, 481 nt
Filed under: uncultured bacterium
Lineage: Bacteria
Description: partial 16S ribosomal RNA
Rfam family: Bacterial small subunit ribosomal RNA
Source: RNAcentral
AUUGAACGCUGGCGGUAUGCUUUACACAUGCAAGUCGAACGGUAACAGGCCGCAAGGUGCUGACGAGUGGCGCACGGGUGAGUAAUGCAUCGGAACGUGCCCAGUCGUGGGGGAUAACUACUCGAAAGAGUAGCUAAUACCGCAUACGAUCUAUGGAUGAAAGCGGGGGACCGUAAGGCCUCGCGCGAUUGGAGCGGCCGAUGUCAGAUUAGGUAGUUGGUGGGGUAAAGGCUACCAAGCCAACGAUCUGUAGCUGGUCUGAGAGGACGACCAGCCACACUGGGACUGAGACACGGCCCAGACUCCUACGGGAGGCAGCAGUGGGGAAUUGUGGACGAUGGGCGCAAGCCUGAUCCAGCAAUGCCGCGUGCAGGAAGAAGGCCUUCGGGUUGUAUACUGCUUUUGUACGGAACGAAACGGCUCUGGUGAAUACCCGGGGCUAAUGACGGCACCGUAAGAAUAAGCACCGGCUAACUACGUG